CAAGACAUAAUUUAGUUAGAAUGUUGGCUUUGGGGGCCAUUUGUAAAGGUUUAAGUCCUUUUGUCUUGA
Molecule: transfer RNA, 69 nt
Filed under: Breviceps poweri (Power's rain frog)
Lineage: Eukaryota; Metazoa; Chordata; Amphibia; Anura; Brevicipitidae
Description: tRNA-Pro
Rfam family: tRNA
About the family: Transfer RNA (tRNA) molecules are approximately 80 nucleotides in length.
Source: RNAcentral